GGCUCUAUCGUCUAAUAGUCAGGACGGAAGCUUCUCAAGCUUCAAAUCUGGGUGCGAUUCCCAGUAGAGUCACCA
Molecule: transfer RNA, 75 nt
Filed under: Candidatus Nomurabacteria bacterium RIFCSPHIGHO2_01_FULL_43_16
Lineage: Bacteria; Candidatus Nomuraibacteriota
Also listed under: 9 other names
Description: tRNA-Glu
Rfam family: tRNA
About the family: Transfer RNA (tRNA) molecules are approximately 80 nucleotides in length. Their secondary structure includes four short double-helical elements and three loops (D, anti-codon, and T loops).
Source: RNAcentral